UGGGGAAUUUUGCACAAUGGGGGAAACCCUGAUGCAGCGACGCCGCGUGAUUUAGAAGGCCUUCGGGUUGUAAAAAUCUUUUCUAUGGGAAGAAAAUGACAGUACCAUAGGAAAAAGCCCCGGCUAACUACGUGCCAGCAGCCGCGGUAAUACGUAGGGGGCUAGCGUUGUCCGGAAUCACUGGGCGUAAAGGGUUCGCAGGCGGAAAUGCAAGUCAGGUGUAAAAGGCAGUAGCUUAACUACUGUAAGCAUUUGAAACUGCAUAUCUUGAGAAGAGUAGAGGUAAGUGGAAUUUUUAGUGUAGCGGUGAAAUGCGUAGAUAUUAAAAAGAAUACCGGUGGCGAAGGCGACUUACUGGGCUCAUUCUGACGCUGAGGAACGAAAGCGUGGGUAGCAAACAGG
Molecule: ribosomal RNA, 402 nt
Filed under: Fusobacteriota bacterium
Lineage: Bacteria; Fusobacteriati; Fusobacteriota
Description: Fusobacteria bacterium partial 16S ribosomal RNA
Rfam family: Bacterial small subunit ribosomal RNA
Source: RNAcentral